This 462-nucleotide ribosomal RNA is filed under the name Triticum aestivum (bread wheat). RNAcentral describes it as "partial small subunit ribosomal RNA". The record is from RNAcentral. Lineage: Eukaryota; Viridiplantae; Streptophyta; Magnoliopsida; Poales; Poaceae.
AUGUCGUUAGUGAAACCACCAAAAAAAUUGUUUAUGUUUGCGUGUUUAUUGAAGGCACCAGUCUUCGUCAUCAACACGAACUCGUCACCCCUUCACCAUGUCGCGAGCAAAGCCGCCAAUUUUGGUUAUCAGCACAGUCCAAAUCUGACGCACCACACUGUCGAGGAUCAAGGAAUCAUAUCUUGGACUGUAUCACUGGAUUUGCACUCAUUAGUUGCCACACAGUCGAAGAAUGCCAUGCCACCUCGAGUCUGUCGACACCGCUGCACAAUCAUCUCCAUCGCAAAGAGACAAGAUCAUGAAAGCCGACAACAUCGAGUAAGGCGAGGGAGGAGAAAUCCCACCGUGACACAGUGGAUGUUGCUCCCCAAGGCAGAGAGAGAGAGAGAGAGAGAGAGAGAGAGAGAGAGAGAGAGAGAGAGAGAGAGAGAGAGAGAGAUGGGCGUAGAGGGAUGGCCAUGA